Molecule: ribosomal RNA, 480 nt
Filed under: uncultured bacterium
Lineage: Bacteria
Description: bacterial SSU rRNA
Rfam family: Bacterial small subunit ribosomal RNA
Source: RNAcentral
GAUGAACGCUGGCGGCGUGCCUAAUACAUGCAAGUCGAACGCAUUGUGGUUGAAAUGAUAUGAAGAACUUGUUCAGAUUUGAUUUUCAACAUUGCAAUGAGUGGCGAACGGGUGAGUAACACGUGGGAAACCUACCUCUUAGCAGGGGAUAACAUUUGGAAACAAAUGCUAAUACCGUAUAAUAAUUAAAACCGCAUGGUUUUAGUUUAAAAGAUGGUCUUGCUAUCACUAAGAGAUGGUCCCGCGGUGUAUUAGUUAGUUGGUGAGGUAAUGGCUCACCAAGACAAUGAUACAUAGCCGAGUUGAGAGACUGACCGGCCACAAUGGGACUGAGACACGGCCCAUACUCCUACGGGAGGCAGCAGUAGGGAAUACUUCCACAAUGGACGAAAGUACUGAUGGAGCAACGCCGCGUGUGUGAUGAAGGGUUUCGGCUCGUAAAACACUGUUGUAAGAGAAGAAUGACAUUGAGAGUAACUG